UCUUAGAGAGAGAUUUCCCCCUUGACACCCCGGUGUGCGAUGGAUUAACUAGUUAGAAACUGGUGAAAGGCGGGGUCCCUGCGCCUGAGAGCGCGGGAGCCGGGUGCCCUGCCCGUGCGGCCUGCGGGAGCAGGGCUGGACGGACUCCUCAGUCCGCUGCCCCCUAGGGCUUCGCGCAGGGAGGCCGGCUCGGCCCGCUCCCCUCCCUCCCCGGCUGGCCCCUUCCCUUUCCAGCGCUCAGGGCAGCUCCGCCGUCCAAACCGGAGCUGAGUUUGCUGACAGGGGCGCACGGGCUGGCAGCGCUGAUGUCAGAGCCGGCGGACGGCCGUGAUUGGAUCUAAUUAGACUUCGCAGCAGCAAAUAGACAGGCUCCCUGCGUGAUCGGCUUCAAAGUGGCUGGUGCCCAACAACUAGCAGAGGUGCCAAAGUAGAGCCUGCGCGCGGAGCCCAGAUUCGGGGCGGCUGGGGCGGCGGGCGCUCCGCGGUCCCGGCCUGCGAGCUUGGUGCGGGCUCAGACCGCCGGCUCUGCCCGGCUGGACGCAGGUGACAGAGAGCCGCCAAAGGAGACGGUGACAGAGAGCCUCCAGAGGAGACGCCAGGAGUGCGAGCGUGCAGCCCCGAAAAGUGAGCCGGCCCCCGAUCCGCAGGAGCGUCCCCGGCGGCCGCGGCCGGAGCCGGAAAGCUGAGAGUGUUGGAGAGGACUCCUGCCCGGGUCCACUCGCCGGCCGCUGCCAUGGCAUCGGUCCUGGGGACCAGCAGAGCGUCCGGAGGGCUGAGCGGUCAACUCAAAUGCAAGUCCAAGCGGAGGAGGAGGCGGCGGGCCAAGCGGAAAGGCAACGGGCCAGUAAGUUCAACUGAUGUGAAAAGAGAGAAAAGAUAA
This 880-nucleotide long non-coding RNA is filed under the name Capra hircus (goat). Its description in RNAcentral is "lncRNA (ENSCHIG00010024184.1)". Lineage: Eukaryota; Metazoa; Chordata; Mammalia; Artiodactyla; Bovidae. The record is from RNAcentral.